This is an RNA transcript of Aethalodelphis obliquidens (Pacific white-sided dolphin), 5452 nucleotides long. It is a transcript of the gene named phosphoprotein membrane anchor with glycosphingolipid microdomains 1, with no coding region annotated. Lineage: Eukaryota; Metazoa; Chordata; Mammalia; Artiodactyla; Delphinidae. The transcript has 11 exons. The record is from RefSeq and is a predicted model, not a curated record.
CGCCCCGCACCCGCCGCCGCCCGGGCAGUGCGGGGCCGCGGCGCUCUGUGCGCAGCGGCAGUGCGGUCCCCCCCGAAGGCUCCCUGUCGCCUGCGUCCCAAAAGCACGAGGUCAUUCUCUUGUUUCAGCCAGUGAGUGCAACUUCAGAGCUGGGAGAGAGUGAUUGCAAGGAGUGGAAUUACUGGGUAAAAUCACUCGAUGUUUCACUUUUUGAGGAACAACCAGGCUGUUUUCAAAGUGGCUGUACCAUUUUACAUCCCCAUCAGCCAGGCCAAGAAGGAAGGGAGAACAUUCACCACCACAACGUCUCAAAGGGAAUACAUUGCCAGCAUUUUGAAUACUUAUUUGGACAAACCUUUCUUCAAGGAGGACGCAGCCCUCUGCCCCCAUGUCGCCACCUUGGAAGGACUGACCAAAUCCAGCAGCCUGUGCCACUUCCCACCCACCAUGGGACCCGAGGGAAGCUUGCUGAGUGGGGGACAAAUGCAGAUCACCCUGUGGGGAAGCCUGGCAGCUGUGGCCACCUUCUUCCUCAUCACCUUCCUCAUCUUUCUGUGCUCCAGUUGUGACAGAGAAAAGAAGCCGAGACAGCACAGCGGAGACCAUGAGAACCUGAUGAACGUGCCUUCCGACAAGGAGAUGUUCAGCCGUUCAGUUACCAGCCUGGCCACAGACGCGCCUGCCAGCAGCGAACAGAAUGGGGCACUCACCAACGGUGACAUUCUUUCAGAAGACAGCACCGUGACCUGCACGCAGCAUUACGAGGAAGUCCAGACGUCAGCUUCAGAUCUGCUGGACUCCCAGGACAGCACAGGGAAGCCAAAAUGUCAUCAGAGCCGGGAGUUGCCCAGAAUUCCUCCUGAGAGCGACGUGGACACGAUGCUCAAUGGAGAAAGCGCGGACGGGGACCAGGGUCUGGGGAUGGAGGGGCCGUAUGAAGUGCUCAAGGACAGUGCCUCACAAGAAAAUAUGGUGGAGGACUGCUUGUAUGAAACUGUGAAAGAAAUUAAGGAGGUGACGGCCGCCGCCCACUCAGCUGGAGGCCACAGCAGCAGGUCGAAGUCAACUUCCACUGUGAAAGAGCUUCCGGGGCCCCAGGCCAGUGGCAAAACAGACUUUGCCGAAUAUGCCUCCGUGGACAGAAACAGAAAGUGUCGACAAAGCGCUAAUGCAGAGAGUAUUCUUGGAAAUGCAUGGGAUCCAGAGGAGGAGGCGCCACCCCCUGUCCCCAUUAAACUUCUGGAUGAAAAUGAAAACCUUCAGGAACAGGCAGAGAGUAAAACAGGAGAAGAAGGGGCCGCCGAGGGGACCAGUGAAGCCAACAAGAGAUUUAGUUCGUUGUCAUACAAGUCCCGGGAAGAAGACCCAACUCUCACAGAAGAAGAGAUCUCGGCAAUGUAUUCAUCAGUACAUAAAAAAGGACAGCCAGGGAACAAAUCAGGACAGUCACUCAAAGCACCAGAGUCCACCUAUACCUCCAUCCAAGGAGCCGCUCUGAGGUCGCCCUCUUCCUGUAACGAUCUCUAUGCUACUCUUAAAGACUUGGAGAAAAUUCCCAACAGUGUCAGCACUCUUCCAGCAGCAGGGAGGCCCAACGGCGAGGAGCCCGAACCAGAUUACGAAGCAAUACAGACCCUAAACAGAGAGGAAGAGAAGGCUGCCCCGGAGACCAACAGCCACCACGGCCUUUUCCCAAAGGAGAAUGACUACGAGAGCAUCAGGGACCUGCAGCAAUGCCGAGACAUCACCAGGCUCUAGCAGCCCGGAAGACAACCCAGCUAGCAUAGGACCAGCCGGCAGGGCCAGUGCUGUUGCAGAACACAAGAAGCAGUGUCAGCCACACUGCAUAUGCUGCUUCCGGAAAAGGAAGAUGACUGGAGAUGCCGAAACCGCUUCUCAGUUUGGAGAACAGUGAGGUACACACCCUACUGCCAGGGCACGGGCACACCCAAGCACACCUCCCUCAUAUACCCACACCCUCUGGAAGGAUCCCAGCUGUCAGUGGUCUCACCCUCUUUGUGAAGAAAGCCACACAGUAAGGAAGAAAAGCACUCAUCCGAAACCACCGCUCACCUGCCUGAAGCACUGCCACUCCCAGGGGCCGGGUUUCUCUCCCCUCUCUCCCCUUUCUGCUGCCUGCUACUAACGGUAAAAUGAAUGGCUUUUUUCCCCUUGAAAUCUUCCAAUUUAUAAUGGUUCAUUCCAAGGAUAUUCUCCCACCAGCCUGGCCUUUGCCUUCAACGUGGGUGUUUUUCAAUGGUAAGAAAUUGUGGUUGCUGCUUCCCUACCGCUCCCCAGUCCUCUUCAAGCAGCUGCCCCUGGGAACCGGGACCGGCCAGUGGAUAGGAUUGGAGAUGCCCCUUGAGCUUCUUAGCUCUUCAUUCCUUCUGAUUCGGGCAGUCCAUGUCAGCAGCCUCUCCCAAAGUACUUGAAGUCAUUGUUAGAUGCUUUAUUUUAUUUUUAUAGUCAAAAUGGUUUUUUCCCCAGUAUUUGAAACUCUUCAGAGCCUUCAAUGAAUAUCGUGGUACUUCCAUACUUCUUUUAGCCCAGAGCUCAUUCCUCCAAAACAGAGAGCCUUAAUCUCUAUGUUGGGACACAGACCACAUGUUUGGAUGGCAGCCACGGCUUCCAUUUCCCAAGGGCUGUGAACUUGAAUGUGUAUUUCUGAUGACCCCCGCUGCCACACCAGCCGUGCGGGAUUUCAUACAUGAACUGCUCCCCUAAGUAUCACAGACCCGGCCUGGCAGCAUGGAAACCGUUCCCCAGCACCUCCUGGCAUGAAGACAGCUCUGCCCAGCUCACGUUUGGGCUAUCUCGAUAAGGCACAGAUCCACCUGGGGAAGCAGAUGCUGGGUGUUAUUUGCCAUGAACUUUGCUAAACCGUGUACACUCUUGCCCACAUCUUUCGUGAGAAUGGUUGGCACUAAGAAGCCAUGGAGAAGAACUUUUUAAAAAUUCUGUUGAGGACUCAGACUCACAAAUGCAGAAAAAUGAGCACUGUGCUCUAACCAGGUAAGCCCACAGGUCCCCUACAAGGUAUUGAGAUUGGAGGGAAAUCCCUGGAACAGCAGACCAAUAACUACCCAUAAAGUAGAAGGGCACUGAUUAUUUUGAGAGGGGGAAAAAAAAAACAAACAAACUCUUUCCUGUAAGAAUUAAUCACUUCUAGAGUAAAUUAUGUGUAACAUUUCUUAGCCAUGUAGCUAUUGCACCCCAUCCCCUGAGAAACAGUGCUUAUGAGUUACGUGAGUUAUAACUAGUUUGAGCUCCUCUCCAGGUCUCAAGGAAAUGAGAACGUUCAAGCAUCUAACUCUGGAGUUACCAGAUGUUGAACAUAACUUGGCCAUUUAUAGGCAAAAUCCCUGAUGUUUGGUGAUGUUAGGUGAUCCAGUGGCUGAGGGUCUCACGUUCUGCACACCUGAGGAUCCAGGAUGUGUUUAGUUUUGAUUUUUUUUAACCUUCACUCUCAUCAUAGCUUAUUUGAAUGGGUAUUCUAGAGUGUAAUAUUUUUUUCCAAAUUAACAGAACAGAUAUGUUCAUUCUCAGUAUACAUUUAAUUCUUAAAAACCUAUCUAGUAUAUCAGUUAGGCACCCUUCACAGGACAGUUAAGGCUAAAACAGAGAGACCAGUCUUGUCCCCUGGAGCCUGCAUUUCAGAACCGACUUGUUGCAACGUCUGGUUUUAUUUUGUUUUGUUUGUUUUUUUAACUCAACAAGUGGGAAACAAUGAGUGUAAACAAACUCUUUCCUUUUCCGUUUUUAAGCUUAAGGAGAAAAAGAAAUGUAAUUUUAGCUCCUCAUUUAGGUAGUAAAGGCUUCCCUGACAGACAGCAGUGCCUUUCCCUAGGCGAAGAGACUAGAACCGAAGGCCUGAGUCGGUCUUUGAACAGUCCUUUGACAAGUUUUUAUGUAUUUUUAAUGUCAAACCCAUAGAUGAACCUGACAUGAUGAUCAUGACCCAUCCAGUAAGUGUGCUUGCUUUCUUCGCAUUCAUGCUUUUAAAUAUAAGCUUCUCUGUCUUUCCUGAGCCGCGCUCGAAACUUAACUCCUGUGGGCCCCUCCACGGCUGCCUCCUGACGUCCUGGAGGUUUGGCGGCACCAUCAGCAGUGCUUUGCUCUCAGGGAGAAGCUCGCGGAACGUGUUGGGAAAGUUGAAUUUUACAUCCACGUCAACAGGCGUUUGAAAGAGUCCUGUAUGCCUCAGAUUUUUGACCCUUCUUAAAAUUUUUUCUUUAUUUUUUUUCUGAGUACCAACUACAUAUUUGAUUCUCAGGGGGUGGGUAGGGCAGGAAUUAGAAGUAAAAUUUGAACUAAGUGAUGUGGGAAAGACUUCCUGCCCCUGUGUGUGUGACUCUGGAAAAUAUUUUAUUCCAAUGCCCUGCCUACCACUCUGAGUCUCUUGAGAAGCACACCGUAAAUGUAUAUAAGAUUGAGAAAGAAUAUCUCAAAGACUUAAAUUAUUGUUUAGGUAUUUUUUUCUUUGUAAACUCAGGAAUAAACCUGGUUUGUGCGUGGCAGAAUAUGGCUACCAAAGCUAUAAUUUGUAGGUAACUAGGUGCAUUCUUUCAAAUAUAUUUCAUUCUAACUUUUUUAAAAACUGGGGAAAGAAACUCCUAGUAAUGAAAAAACAAAACCAACAAGAGACUUCCAUAAACUCUUUCUAGAAGAACAUAGUAUCAGUCUAACCUCUGCCCCAGAGUGUUUGUUUCUUGCCUAUAGUAUUUCAACAAUUUUUAUGGGAGAAAAAAAUGCACGUUUUUAUGUCUUGGAAAAAUGAACUGAAGUAUUGAAUUAAAUUCUCAGAGGGGACAAUUUAGUUUAAAGAGAAGCAUUGGUUUUGGAGAUCAACUCAUGGCUCUGUGGUCCCCGUUCCAGCACUGACUUUACUGUGUGACCUUGAGCAAAUGAUUAACUACUCUGUGCCUCAGUUUCUCCAUAUACAAAAUGGGGAUAAUGAUACCAACCAUUGCCUACCUCAUAGGGAUGUUAUGGGGACAAAUGAGAUAAUAUAAAUACAAAUGCUUUGAAUUCUGUAAGAAAGGUGCUAUAUAAGUUGAAAUUGUGUUGUUUUUAGUGAUCCAAUUAUUAAUUAUGUUUAGGGUUUAAAUAAUAGCAAUACUGUUAGUCAUGUUAAGAAUAAGUUUCAACUUGAUUCAUAUUUACAAUUCUCUUCUGUGGCCAGAUCUUGAUCAUUUAUCCAGUAAUGGUACCUAAGGAACUGAAACGGAUAUUUGUUUUCUGUGUAUUUUUGCCCAUAGUAUUUCUACGCUGAAUGUUCCCAAAAGGCUGGAGUUCAACUUGUCCUAUCUUAUAGUUUACAUGUAAUGAACCUUACUCAAGCUGUAUAUAAAAGUAUAAUUACAUGUAAAUAGCAGGUGCAUUGUAAUUAAAGGCACUUAUCAACUUGUCUUUGUUCUUUUUUAAUUGCAAUAAAGUUCAGUUUUACAUAAAA